CGGAACGAAAACAACAACACCUAAAAUGUGGAAUAUAGCAUAUAGUCGACAAGAGAAAUCUACGAAAAACAAACAAAACUUUCAACAACGGAUCUCUUGGUUCUCGCAUCGAUGAAGAGCGCAGCGAAAUGCGAUACCUAGUGUGAAUUGCAGCCAUCGUGAAUCAUCGAGUUCUUGAACGCACAUUGCGCCCCUCGGCAUUCCGGGGGGCAUGCCUGUUUGAGCGUCGUUUCCAUCUUGCGCGUGCGCAGAGUUGGGGGAGCGGAGCGGACGACGUGUAAAGAGCGUCGGAGCUGCGACUCGCCUGAAAGGGAGCGAAGCUGGCCGAGCGAACUAGACUUUUUUUCAGGGACGCUUGGCGGCCGAGAGCGAGUGUUGCGAGACAACAAAAAGCUCGACCUCAAAUCAGGUAGGAAUACCCGCUGAACUUAAGCAUAUCAAUA
This 443-nucleotide ribosomal RNA is filed under the name Pichia kudriavzevii. Its description in RNAcentral is "eukaryotic LSU rRNA". The stretch from base 77 to 229 matches the Rfam family "5.8S ribosomal RNA". The record is from RNAcentral. Lineage: Eukaryota; Fungi; Ascomycota; Pichiomycetes; Pichiales; Pichiaceae.